Patella vulgata (common limpet) is the source of this 19030-nucleotide long non-coding RNA. RefSeq lists it as uncharacterized. The transcript has 9 exons. Lineage: Eukaryota; Metazoa; Mollusca; Gastropoda; Patellidae. The record is from RefSeq and is a predicted model, not a curated record.
UCAUGAUGGACGAAUGUAGUGCGAGUUAUAAAUAGACAAUUUUUCCCUUAAUUUUUUUCUCCCCUCUUCCUGCAUUUUUGGGUUGACUUUUUGAUCUAGAAUUGGAGAAAAGGGAUCAAAUUUGCAAUUUCAUAGCAGUUUUGGGUAAUACUGAUGAUAUUACAGCGGAGGGAUAGGGGGUGUAAAGUGUCUUUCUGCAGAGCAGUCAUUGUGUCGGAAGUGAGAUUUUCACCCCAGUCAACUUCAAAUCCGUGUAGCAAAAAAUCUAAAUGGUCAACCCCCUACAAAAUUAUGAUGAGGAGAUUGCCAAAUGUUGUCCCCAUUGUGCCUAUAAAGAUUGGAACCAACGGAAUGUUGAGAAAAAAGCUACAGCCUGUGAUGUUACAGCCAUUUAACAUUGAAGUCAAUGGGCAAAUAAUUGCUAGUCUGAGUCCUGAUGAGGUAAAGAAACAUGGCCGACUCGGGAUGUUGAUAUUUUUUCAAGGGCUUAUUUCCUGAAAUUUUGAAUGGAAAGUGUCAGAAAUAGUAAGAAUACUGCUUUUUUAUUGCCCAGCAGUAAGUUUUUUGACUAUUUGGUAUCAAAAUAGCCAUGAUUGGGGGUAUCCGUUGGUUGAGUGUGAAUUUUGGGUUGUAAAUGUGUAACAUUUUCUUCACAAUGAUAUCAAAACAUGGUUAGGUCUAAAUAUUAAGGCCAACUCAACUCCAGAUUUGGUCUAAAGUCACGAGAUGUAAACAAGGCUGACCCUAACCCUAACCCAAGACCCAGUCCUUACCCUAACCCUAACCCACAAUCUUGUCAAGAAGCAUGUAGCCUAGGCCUAAGCCAAGACCUAGUUCUGACCCUAGCCCAAACCCACAAUUGUGUAAAAAAAUCAUGUGCCCUAACCCUAUUUACAUGUUGUGACCUUGAACCAAGUCUGCAGUUGGCCUUAACAUUUAGACCUAACAUGUUUUUGACAUCAUACAAUGAAAUGUUAACAUGUACACUCCAAAAUUCACACCUGUGUGACUUUUGACCAAACAUGCAGUUGGCCUUAAUAUUUAGACCGAACCUCAAAACAUGGCAUCUACCUUUGAGAUUGGCUUAGACUUAUGUGACACUCAAGGUUUACUUUUUUACUGAUUGUUAACUGGUUUCUUUUUGGAGGGCCAGUGACGGGCUGUUCGCGAGAAAUAAAGAGGUUUAUUUCUAUUUCCAGUUGAAACCAUAUUUUUUUCUUAUUUUCUCACUGUUUUUUAUUGCAUAUUUAUCCCCAGCCUCCUAUCAUUUCAGGUGCCAGGGCAUUGUUUCAUAGAGUGGAAUGAUUGACCUCAACACAAGUAUUAAAAAAAAAGAAGCAAAACAGGUCUACAUCUCAAAACCUGAUCUCUUCCUGGACUGGCUUUAGGAGAACGAUGAUGCAUAUCAAUUUCAUCCCUGAUCUCUAUGACACCUGUGGUGGAAGUGGAGGGCAAAUCGUAAUCAGUUUGGGACCUCUGUAAACUUUGCUUUUUGGUGAUGACUUAAUUUCCGAGCUUGAAAAGGACGCUUGUGUGUUUAUCAUGGCCUCUCAUAUUGGAAGAUAACAUUAAUGGCUUGUGUGUUGAUCGACGGUUGUGCAUAUCUCUUGGUCAGGAAAGUUGUAGGCACCAUCGCCAUUGUAAAUCAUUUGACAGGCUCGAGUGAACGGGGCGACCUAUGAUUGGUCAGCAAUGUAUCAGAUUCCAUACCGGGGGGUGGGGAUGAAAAAACUGUUGUAGUGUUACAUAAUCAGAUUAUUUCAACUUACUUAUCCUGUGGAAAUACAGCUAUAUAGGAGAUAUUUUGAAAUUCAUAGGCACUGCAUGUUUCAACAUUUUAGAUUUGACCACAAUUUGGCACUUAAAACUAUGUUAACAGAGAAAAACUGUGUGGUUUUCGAUGAAAGUGUUAAAAGUCUAAUAUUGCAUCAUGAUUACUGUUUUAAAGUAUUUUCGUGUUUGAUUUAUAUUGAAUUCAUCUCAUCUUUUUGAAGAAUGCAUUUAUGUUCAAAAAUAAAAAUGUUCUGUGGAAUUCAAAAUUCAUGUGCUUUUAAAUUAUCAGAUUCCAAACUGGGGGGUAGGGAUGAAAAAGCUGUUGUAGUGUUACAUAAUCAGAUUAUUUCAACUUACUUAUCCUAUGGAAAUACAGCUAUAUAGGAGAUAUUUUAAAAUUCAUAGGCACUGCAUGUUUCAACAUUUUAGAUUUGACCACAAUUUGGCACUUGAAACUACGUUAACAGAGAAAAACUGUGUGGUUUUCGAUGAAAGUGUUAAAAAGUCUAAUAUUGCAUCAUGAUUACUGUUUUAAAGUAUUUUCGUGUUUGAUUUAUAUUGAAUUUAUCUCAUCUUUUUACAGAAUGCAUUUAUGUUCAAAAAUAAAAAUGUUCUGUUUAAUUCAAAAUUCAUGUGCUUUUAAAUUUCUGUCUGAAAUUCCGCAGUUUUCUGAUGCAUUAUAGUGUUUGCAGAAUGCCGCACAGCUCAUCUGAAAAUGCAUAGAUUUUCAUAUUCUUUGGUCAGGGAAUUGCAUAUAUGUUUGUUUAUUAGAUAACAACAGAUUUGUUUAAACUGCAGAAACAUGUGAGGUAUAUAUGAGGUAAAGAAACAUGGCCGACUCGGGAUGUUGAUAUUUUUUCAAGGGCUUAUUUCCUGAAAUUUUGAAUGGAAAGUGUCAGAAAUAGUAAGAAUACUGCUUUUUUAUUGCCCAGCAGUAAGUUUUUUGACUAUUUGGUAUCAAAAUAGCCAUGAUUGGGGGUAUCCGUUGGUUGAGUGUGAAUUUUGGGUUGUAAAUGUGUAACAUUUUCUUCACAAUGAUAUCAAAACAUGGUUAGGUCUAAAUAUUAAGGCCAACUCAACUCCAGAUUUGGUCUAAAGUCACGAGAUGUAAACAAGGCUGACCCUAACCCUAACCCAAGACCCAGUCCUUACCCUAACCCUAACCCACAAUCUUGUCAAGAAGCAUGUAGCCUAGGCCUAAGCCAAGACCUAGUUCUGACCCUAGCCCAAACCCACAAUUGUGUAAAAAAAUCAUGUGCCCUAACCCUAUUUACAUGUUGUGACCUUGAACCAAGUCUGCAGUUGGCCUUAACAUUUAGACCUAACAUGUUUUUGACAUCAUACAAUGAAAUGUUAACAUGUACACUCCAAAAUUCACACCUGUGUGACUUUUGACCAAACAUGCAGUUGGCCUUAAUAUUUAGACCGAACCUCAAAACAUGGCAUCUACCUUUGAGAUUGGCUUAGACUUAUGUGACACUCAAGGUUUACUUUUUUACUGAUUGUUAACUGGUUUCUUUUUGGAGGGCCAGUGACGGGCUGUUCGCGAGAAAUAAAGAGGUUUAUUUCUAUUUCCAGUUGAAACCAUAUUUUUUUCUUAUUUUCUCACUGUUUUUUAUUGCAUAUUUAUCCCCAGCCUCCUAUCAUUUCAGGUGCCAGGGCAUUGUUUCAUAGAGUGGAAUGAUUGACCUCAACACAAGUAUUAAAAAAAAAGAAGCAAAACAGGUCUACAUCUCAAAACCUGAUCUCUUCCUGGACUGGCUUUAGGAGAACGAUGAUGCAUAUCAAUUUCAUCCCUGAUCUCUAUGACACCUGUGGUGGAAGUGGAGGGCAAAUCGUAAUCAGUUUGGGACCUCUGUAAACUUUGCUUUUUGGUGAUGACUUAAUUUCCGAGCUUGAAAAGGACGCUUGUGUGUUUAUCAUGGCCUCUCAUAUUGGAAGAUAACAUUAAUGGCUUGUGUGUUGAUCGACGGUUGUGCAUAUCUCUUGGUCAGGAAAGUUGUAGGCACCAUCGCCAUUGUAAAUCAUUUGACAGGCUCGAGUGAACGGGGCGACCUAUGAUUGGUCAGCAAUGUAUCAGAUUCCAUACCGGGGGGUGGGGAUGAAAAAACUGUUGUAGUGUUACAUAAUCAGAUUAUUUCAACUUACUUAUCCUGUGGAAAUACAGCUAUAUAGGAGAUAUUUUGAAAUUCAUAGGCACUGCAUGUUUCAACAUUUUAGAUUUGACCACAAUUUGGCACUUAAAACUAUGUUAACAGAGAAAAACUGUGUGGUUUUCGAUGAAAGUGUUAAAAGUCUAAUAUUGCAUCAUGAUUACUGUUUUAAAGUAUUUUCGUGUUUGAUUUAUAUUGAAUUCAUCUCAUCUUUUUGAAGAAUGCAUUUAUGUUCAAAAAUAAAAAUGUUCUGUGGAAUUCAAAAUUCAUGUGCUUUUAAAUUAUCAGAUUCCAAACUGGGGGGUAGGGAUGAAAAAGCUGUUGUAGUGUUACAUAAUCAGAUUAUUUCAACUUACUUAUCCUAUGGAAAUACAGCUAUAUAGGAGAUAUUUUAAAAUUCAUAGGCACUGCAUGUUUCAACAUUUUAGAUUUGACCACAAUUUGGCACUUGAAACUACGUUAACAGAGAAAAACUGUGUGGUUUUCGAUGAAAGUGUUAAAAAGUCUAAUAUUGCAUCAUGAUUACUGUUUUAAAGUAUUUUCGUGUUUGAUUUAUAUUGAAUUUAUCUCAUCUUUUUACAGAAUGCAUUUAUGUUCAAAAAUAAAAAUGUUCUGUUUAAUUCAAAAUUCAUGUGCUUUUAAAUUUCUGUCUGAAAUUCCGCAGUUUUCUGAUGCAUUAUAGUGUUUGCAGAAUGCCGCACAGCUCAUCUGAAAAUGCAUAGAUUUUCAUAUUCUUUGGUCAGGGAAUUGCAUAUAUGUUUGUUUAUUAGAUAACAACAGAUUUGUUUAAACUGCAGAAACAUGUGAGGUAUAUAGGACUAAGACUAGUAAUUAUUUCCCCUUAUUUCAUGAUGGACGAAUGUAGUGCGAGUUAUAAAUAGACAAUUUUUCCCUUAAUUUUUUUCUCCCCUCUUCCUGCAUUUUUGGGUUGACUUUUUGGUCUAGAAUUGGAGAAAAGGGAUCAAAUUUGCAAUUUCAUAGCAGUUUUGGGUAAUACUGAUGAUAUUACAGCGGAGGGAUAGGGGGUGUAAAGUGUCUUUCUGCAGAGCAGUCAUUGUGUCGGAAGUGAGAUUUUCACCCCAGUCAACUUCAAAUCCGUGUAGCAAAAAAUCUAAAUGGUCAACCCCCUACAAAAUUAUGAUGAGGAGAUUGCCAAAUGUUGUCCCCAUUGUGCCUAUAAAGAUUGGAACCAACGGAAUGUUGAGAAAAAAGCUACAGCCUGUGAUGUUACAGCCAUUUAACAUUGAAGUCAAUGGGCAAAUAAUUGCUAGUCUGAGUCCUGAUGAGGUAAAGAAACAUGGCCGACUCGGGAUGUUGAUAUUUUUUCAAGGGCUUAUUUCCUGAAAUUUUGAAUGGAAAGUGUCAGAAAUAGUAAGAAUACUGCUUUUUUAUUGCCCAGCAGUAAGUUUUUUGACUAUUUGGUAUCAAAAUAGCCAUGAUUGGGGGUAUCCGUUGGUUGAGUGUGAAUUUUGGGUUGUAAAUGUGUAACAUUUUCUUCACAAUGAUAUCAAAACAUGGUUAGGUCUAAAUAUUAAGGCCAACUCAACUCCAGAUUUGGUCUAAAGUCACGAGAUGUAAACAAGGCUGACCCUAACCCUAACCCAAGACCCAGUCCUUACCCUAACCCUAACCCACAAUCUUGUCAAGAAGCAUGUAGCCUAGGCCUAAGCCAAGACCUAGUUCUGACCCUAGCCCAAACCCACAAUUGUGUAAAAAAAUCAUGUGCCCUAACCCUAUUUACAUGUUGUGACCUUGAACCAAGUCUGCAGUUGGCCUUAACAUUUAGACCUAACAUGUUUUUGACAUCAUACAAUGAAAUGUUAACAUGUACACUCCAAAAUUCACACCUGUGUGACUUUUGACCAAACAUGCAGUUGGCCUUAAUAUUUAGACCGAACCUCAAAACAUGGCAUCUACCUUUGAGAUUGGCUUAGACUUAUGUGACACUCAAGGUUUACUUUUUUACUGAUUGUUAACUGGUUUCUUUUUGGAGGGCCAGUGACGGGCUGUUCGCGAGAAAUAAAGAGGUUUAUUUCUAUUUCCAGUUGAAACCAUAUUUUUUUCUUAUUUUCUCACUGUUUUUUAUUGCAUAUUUAUCCCCAGCCUCCUAUCAUUUCAGGUGCCAGGGCAUUGUUUCAUAGAGUGGAAUGAUUGACCUCAACACAAGUAUUAAAAAAAAAGAAGCAAAACAGGUCUACAUCUCAAAACCUGAUCUCUUCCUGGACUGGCUUUAGGAGAACGAUGAUGCAUAUCAAUUUCAUCCCUGAUCUCUAUGACACCUGUGGUGGAAGUGGAGGGCAAAUCGUAAUCAGUUUGGGACCUCUGUAAACUUUGCUUUUUGGUGAUGACUUAAUUUCCGAGCUUGAAAAGGACGCUUGUGUGUUUAUCAUGGCCUCUCAUAUUGGAAGAUAACAUUAAUGGCUUGUGUGUUGAUCGACGGUUGUGCAUAUCUCUUGGUCAGGAAAGUUGUAGGCACCAUCGCCAUUGUAAAUCAUUUGACAGGCUCGAGUGAACGGGGCGACCUAUGAUUGGUCAGCAAUGUAUCAGAUUCCAUACCGGGGGGUGGGGAUGAAAAAACUGUUGUAGUGUUACAUAAUCAGAUUAUUUCAACUUACUUAUCCUGUGGAAAUACAGCUAUAUAGGAGAUAUUUUGAAAUUCAUAGGCACUGCAUGUUUCAACAUUUUAGAUUUGACCACAAUUUGGCACUUAAAACUAUGUUAACAGAGAAAAACUGUGUGGUUUUCGAUGAAAGUGUUAAAAGUCUAAUAUUGCAUCAUGAUUACUGUUUUAAAGUAUUUUCGUGUUUGAUUUAUAUUGAAUUCAUCUCAUCUUUUUGAAGAAUGCAUUUAUGUUCAAAAAUAAAAAUGUUCUGUGGAAUUCAAAAUUCAUGUGCUUUUAAAUUAUCAGAUUCCAAACUGGGGGGUAGGGAUGAAAAAGCUGUUGUAGUGUUACAUAAUCAGAUUAUUUCAACUUACUUAUCCUAUGGAAAUACAGCUAUAUAGGAGAUAUUUUAAAAUUCAUAGGCACUGCAUGUUUCAACAUUUUAGAUUUGACCACAAUUUGGCACUUGAAACUACGUUAACAGAGAAAAACUGUGUGGUUUUCGAUGAAAGUGUUAAAAAGUCUAAUAUUGCAUCAUGAUUACUGUUUUAAAGUAUUUUCGUGUUUGAUUUAUAUUGAAUUUAUCUCAUCUUUUUACAGAAUGCAUUUAUGUUCAAAAAUAAAAAUGUUCUGUUUAAUUCAAAAUUCAUGUGCUUUUAAAUUUCUGUCUGAAAUUCCGCAGUUUUCUGAUGCAUUAUAGUGUUUGCAGAAUGCCGCACAGCUCAUCUGAAAAUGCAUAGAUUUUCAUAUUCUUUGGUCAGGGAAUUGCAUAUAUGUUUGUUUAUUAGAUAACAACAGAUUUGUUUAAACUGCAGAAACAUGUGAGGUAUAUAGAGGUAAAGAAACAUGGCCGACUCGGGAUGUUGAUAUUUUUUCAAGGGCUUAUUUCCUGAAAUUUUGAAUGGAAAGUGUCAGAAAUAGUAAGAAUACUGCUUUUUUAUUGCCCAGCAGUAAGUUUUUUGACUAUUUGGUAUCAAAAUAGCCAUGAUUGGGGGUAUCCGUUGGUUGAGUGUGAAUUUUGGGUUGUAAAUGUGUAACAUUUUCUUCACAAUGAUAUCAAAACAUGGUUAGGUCUAAAUAUUAAGGCCAACUCAACUCCAGAUUUGGUCUAAAGUCACGAGAUGUAAACAAGGCUGACCCUAACCCUAACCCAAGACCCAGUCCUUACCCUAACCCUAACCCACAAUCUUGUCAAGAAGCAUGUAGCCUAGGCCUAAGCCAAGACCUAGUUCUGACCCUAGCCCAAACCCACAAUUGUGUAAAAAAAUCAUGUGCCCUAACCCUAUUUACAUGUUGUGACCUUGAACCAAGUCUGCAGUUGGCCUUAACAUUUAGACCUAACAUGUUUUUGACAUCAUACAAUGAAAUGUUAACAUGUACACUCCAAAAUUCACACCUGUGUGACUUUUGACCAAACAUGCAGUUGGCCUUAAUAUUUAGACCGAACCUCAAAACAUGGCAUCUACCUUUGAGAUUGGCUUAGACUUAUGUGACACUCAAGGUUUACUUUUUUACUGAUUGUUAACUGGUUUCUUUUUGGAGGGCCAGUGACGGGCUGUUCGCGAGAAAUAAAGAGGUUUAUUUCUAUUUCCAGUUGAAACCAUAUUUUUUUCUUAUUUUCUCACUGUUUUUUAUUGCAUAUUUAUCCCCAGCCUCCUAUCAUUUCAGGUGCCAGGGCAUUGUUUCAUAGAGUGGAAUGAUUGACCUCAACACAAGUAUUAAAAAAAAAGAAGCAAAACAGGUCUACAUCUCAAAACCUGAUCUCUUCCUGGACUGGCUUUAGGAGAACGAUGAUGCAUAUCAAUUUCAUCCCUGAUCUCUAUGACACCUGUGGUGGAAGUGGAGGGCAAAUCGUAAUCAGUUUGGGACCUCUGUAAACUUUGCUUUUUGGUGAUGACUUAAUUUCCGAGCUUGAAAAGGACGCUUGUGUGUUUAUCAUGGCCUCUCAUAUUGGAAGAUAACAUUAAUGGCUUGUGUGUUGAUCGACGGUUGUGCAUAUCUCUUGGUCAGGAAAGUUGUAGGCACCAUCGCCAUUGUAAAUCAUUUGACAGGCUCGAGUGAACGGGGCGACCUAUGAUUGGUCAGCAAUGUAUCAGAUUCCAUACCGGGGGGUGGGGAUGAAAAAACUGUUGUAGUGUUACAUAAUCAGAUUAUUUCAACUUACUUAUCCUGUGGAAAUACAGCUAUAUAGGAGAUAUUUUGAAAUUCAUAGGCACUGCAUGUUUCAACAUUUUAGAUUUGACCACAAUUUGGCACUUAAAACUAUGUUAACAGAGAAAAACUGUGUGGUUUUCGAUGAAAGUGUUAAAAGUCUAAUAUUGCAUCAUGAUUACUGUUUUAAAGUAUUUUCGUGUUUGAUUUAUAUUGAAUUCAUCUCAUCUUUUUGAAGAAUGCAUUUAUGUUCAAAAAUAAAAAUGUUCUGUGGAAUUCAAAAUUCAUGUGCUUUUAAAUUAUCAGAUUCCAAACUGGGGGGUAGGGAUGAAAAAGCUGUUGUAGUGUUACAUAAUCAGAUUAUUUCAACUUACUUAUCCUAUGGAAAUACAGCUAUAUAGGAGAUAUUUUAAAAUUCAUAGGCACUGCAUGUUUCAACAUUUUAGAUUUGACCACAAUUUGGCACUUGAAACUACGUUAACAGAGAAAAACUGUGUGGUUUUCGAUGAAAGUGUUAAAAAGUCUAAUAUUGCAUCAUGAUUACUGUUUUAAAGUAUUUUCGUGUUUGAUUUAUAUUGAAUUUAUCUCAUCUUUUUACAGAAUGCAUUUAUGUUCAAAAAUAAAAAUGUUCUGUUUAAUUCAAAAUUCAUGUGCUUUUAAAUUUCUGUCUGAAAUUCCGCAGUUUUCUGAUGCAUUAUAGUGUUUGCAGAAUGCCGCACAGCUCAUCUGAAAAUGCAUAGAUUUUCAUAUUCUUUGGUCAGGGAAUUGCAUAUAUGUUUGUUUAUUAGAUAACAACAGAUUUGUUUAAACUGCAGAAACAUGUGAGGUAUAUAGGACUAAGACUAGUAAUUAUUUCCCCUUAUUUCAUGAUGGACGAAUGUAGUGCGAGUUAUAAAUAGACAAUUUUUCCCUUAAUUUUUUUCUCCCCUCUUCCUGCAUUUUUGGGUUGACUUUUUGGUCUAGAAUUGGAGAAAAGGGAUCAAAUUUGCAAUUUCAUAGCAGUUUUGGGUAAUACUGAUGAUAUUACAGCGGAGGGAUAGGGGGUGUAAAGUGUCUUUCUGCAGAGCAGUCAUUGUGUCGGAAGUGAGAUUUUCACCCCAGUCAACUUCAAAUCCGUGUAGCAAAAAAUCUAAAUGGUCAACCCCCUACAAAAUUAUGAUGAGGAGAUUGCCAAAUGUUGUCCCCAUUGUGCCUAUAAAGAUUGGAACCAACGGAAUGUUGAGAAAAAAGCUACAGCCUGUGAUGUUACAGCCAUUUAACAUUGAAGUCAAUGGGCAAAUAAUUGCUAGUCUGAGUCCUGAUGAGGUAAAGAAACAUGGCCGACUCGGGAUGUUGAUAUUUUUUCAAGGGCUUAUUUCCUGAAAUUUUGAAUGGAAAGUGUCAGAAAUAGUAAGAAUACUGCUUUUUUAUUGCCCAGCAGUAAGUUUUUUGACUAUUUGGUAUCAAAAUAGCCAUGAUUGGGGGUAUCCGUUGGUUGAGUGUGAAUUUUGGGUUGUAAAUGUGUAACAUUUUCUUCACAAUGAUAUCAAAACAUGGUUAGGUCUAAAUAUUAAGGCCAACUCAACUCCAGAUUUGGUCUAAAGUCACGAGAUGUAAACAAGGCUGACCCUAACCCUAACCCAAGACCCAGUCCUUACCCUAACCCUAACCCACAAUCUUGUCAAGAAGCAUGUAGCCUAGGCCUAAGCCAAGACCUAGUUCUGACCCUAGCCCAAACCCACAAUUGUGUAAAAAAAUCAUGUGCCCUAACCCUAUUUACAUGUUGUGACCUUGAACCAAGUCUGCAGUUGGCCUUAACAUUUAGACCUAACAUGUUUUUGACAUCAUACAAUGAAAUGUUAACAUGUACACUCCAAAAUUCACACCUGUGUGACUUUUGACCAAACAUGCAGUUGGCCUUAAUAUUUAGACCGAACCUCAAAACAUGGCAUCUACCUUUGAGAUUGGCUUAGACUUAUGUGACACUCAAGGUUUACUUUUUUACUGAUUGUUAACUGGUUUCUUUUUGGAGGGCCAGUGACGGGCUGUUCGCGAGAAAUAAAGAGGUUUAUUUCUAUUUCCAGUUGAAACCAUAUUUUUUUCUUAUUUUCUCACUGUUUUUUAUUGCAUAUUUAUCCCCAGCCUCCUAUCAUUUCAGGUGCCAGGGCAUUGUUUCAUAGAGUGGAAUGAUUGACCUCAACACAAGUAUUAAAAAAAAAGAAGCAAAACAGGUCUACAUCUCAAAACCUGAUCUCUUCCUGGACUGGCUUUAGGAGAACGAUGAUGCAUAUCAAUUUCAUCCCUGAUCUCUAUGACACCUGUGGUGGAAGUGGAGGGCAAAUCGUAAUCAGUUUGGGACCUCUGUAAACUUUGCUUUUUGGUGAUGACUUAAUUUCCGAGCUUGAAAAGGACGCUUGUGUGUUUAUCAUGGCCUCUCAUAUUGGAAGAUAACAUUAAUGGCUUGUGUGUUGAUCGACGGUUGUGCAUAUCUCUUGGUCAGGAAAGUUGUAGGCACCAUCGCCAUUGUAAAUCAUUUGACAGGCUCGAGUGAACGGGGCGACCUAUGAUUGGUCAGCAAUGUAUCAGAUUCCAUACCGGGGGGUGGGGAUGAAAAAACUGUUGUAGUGUUACAUAAUCAGAUUAUUUCAACUUACUUAUCCUGUGGAAAUACAGCUAUAUAGGAGAUAUUUUGAAAUUCAUAGGCACUGCAUGUUUCAACAUUUUAGAUUUGACCACAAUUUGGCACUUAAAACUAUGUUAACAGAGAAAAACUGUGUGGUUUUCGAUGAAAGUGUUAAAAGUCUAAUAUUGCAUCAUGAUUACUGUUUUAAAGUAUUUUCGUGUUUGAUUUAUAUUGAAUUCAUCUCAUCUUUUUGAAGAAUGCAUUUAUGUUCAAAAAUAAAAAUGUUCUGUGGAAUUCAAAAUUCAUGUGCUUUUAAAUUAUCAGAUUCCAAACUGGGGGGUAGGGAUGAAAAAGCUGUUGUAGUGUUACAUAAUCAGAUUAUUUCAACUUACUUAUCCUAUGGAAAUACAGCUAUAUAGGAGAUAUUUUAAAAUUCAUAGGCACUGCAUGUUUCAACAUUUUAGAUUUGACCACAAUUUGGCACUUGAAACUACGUUAACAGAGAAAAACUGUGUGGUUUUCGAUGAAAGUGUUAAAAAGUCUAAUAUUGCAUCAUGAUUACUGUUUUAAAGUAUUUUCGUGUUUGAUUUAUAUUGAAUUUAUCUCAUCUUUUUACAGAAUGCAUUUAUGUUCAAAAAUAAAAAUGUUCUGUUUAAUUCAAAAUUCAUGUGCUUUUAAAUUUCUGUCUGAAAUUCCGCAGUUUUCUGAUGCAUUAUAGUGUUUGCAGAAUGCCGCACAGCUCAUCUGAAAAUGCAUAGAUUUUCAUAUUCUUUGGUCAGGGAAUUGCAUAUAUGUUUGUUUAUUAGAUAACAACAGAUUUGUUUAAACUGCAGAAACAUGUGAGGUAUAUAGGACUAAGACUAGUAAUUAUUUCCCCUUAUUUCAUGAUGGACGAAUGUAGUGCGAGUUAUAAAUAGACAAUUUUUCCCUUAAUUUUUUUCUCCCCUCUUCCUGCAUUUUUGGGUUGACUUUUUGGUCUAGAAUUGGAGAAAAGGGAUCAAAUUUGCAAUUUCAUAGCAGUUUUGGGUAAUACUGAUGAUAUUACAGCGGAGGGAUAGGGGGUGUAAAGUGUCUUUCUGCAGAGCAGUCAUUGUGUCGGAAGUGAGAUUUUCACCCCAGUCAACUUCAAAUCCGUGUAGCAAAAAAUCUAAAUGGUCAACCCCCUACAAAAUUAUGAUGAGGAGAUUGCCAAAUGUUGUCCCCAUUGUGCCUAUAAAGAUUGGAACCAACGGAAUGUUGAGAAAAAAGCUACAGCCUGUGAUGUUACAGCCAUUUAACAUUGAAGUCAAUGGGCAAAUAAUUGCUAGUCUGAGUCCUGAUGAGGUAAAGAAACAUGGCCGACUCGGGAUGUUGAUAUUUUUUCAAGGGCUUAUUUCCUGAAAUUUUGAAUGGAAAGUGUCAGAAAUAGUAAGAAUACUGCUUUUUUAUUGCCCAGCAGUAAGUUUUUUGACUAUUUGGUAUCAAAAUAGCCAUGAUUGGGGGUAUCCGUUGGUUGAGUGUGAAUUUUGGGUUGUAAAUGUGUAACAUUUUCUUCACAAUGAUAUCAAAACAUGGUUAGGUCUAAAUAUUAAGGCCAACUCAACUCCAGAUUUGGUCUAAAGUCACGAGAUGUAAACAAGGCUGACCCUAACCCUAACCCAAGACCCAGUCCUUACCCUAACCCUAACCCACAAUCUUGUCAAGAAGCAUGUAGCCUAGGCCUAAGCCAAGACCUAGUUCUGACCCUAGCCCAAACCCACAAUUGUGUAAAAAAAUCAUGUGCCCUAACCCUAUUUACAUGUUGUGACCUUGAACCAAGUCUGCAGUUGGCCUUAACAUUUAGACCUAACAUGUUUUUGACAUCAUACAAUGAAAUGUUAACAUGUACACUCCAAAAUUCACACCUGUGUGACUUUUGACCAAACAUGCAGUUGGCCUUAAUAUUUAGACCGAACCUCAAAACAUGGCAUCUACCUUUGAGAUUGGCUUAGACUUAUGUGACACUCAAGGUUUACUUUUUUACUGAUUGUUAACUGGUUUCUUUUUGGAGGGCCAGUGACGGGCUGUUCGCGAGAAAUAAAGAGGUUUAUUUCUAUUUCCAGUUGAAACCAUAUUUUUUUCUUAUUUUCUCACUGUUUUUUAUUGCAUAUUUAUCCCCAGCCUCCUAUCAUUUCAGGUGCCAGGGCAUUGUUUCAUAGAGUGGAAUGAUUGACCUCAACACAAGUAUUAAAAAAAAAGAAGCAAAACAGGUCUACAUCUCAAAACCUGAUCUCUUCCUGGACUGGCUUUAGGAGAACGAUGAUGCAUAUCAAUUUCAUCCCUGAUCUCUAUGACACCUGUGGUGGAAGUGGAGGGCAAAUCGUAAUCAGUUUGGGACCUCUGUAAACUUUGCUUUUUGGUGAUGACUUAAUUUCCGAGCUUGAAAAGGACGCUUGUGUGUUUAUCAUGGCCUCUCAUAUUGGAAGAUAACAUUAAUGGCUUGUGUGUUGAUCGACGGUUGUGCAUAUCUCUUGGUCAGGAAAGUUGUAGGCACCAUCGCCAUUGUAAAUCAUUUGACAGGCUCGAGUGAACGGGGCGACCUAUGAUUGGUCAGCAAUGUAUCAGAUUCCAUACCGGGGGGUGGGGAUGAAAAAACUGUUGUAGUGUUACAUAAUCAGAUUAUUUCAACUUACUUAUCCUGUGGAAAUACAGCUAUAUAGGAGAUAUUUUGAAAUUCAUAGGCACUGCAUGUUUCAACAUUUUAGAUUUGACCACAAUUUGGCACUUAAAACUAUGUUAACAGAGAAAAACUGUGUGGUUUUCGAUGAAAGUGUUAAAAGUCUAAUAUUGCAUCAUGAUUACUGUUUUAAAGUAUUUUCGUGUUUGAUUUAUAUUGAAUUCAUCUCAUCUUUUUGAAGAAUGCAUUUAUGUUCAAAAAUAAAAAUGUUCUGUGGAAUUCAAAAUUCAUGUGCUUUUAAAUUAUCAGAUUCCAAACUGGGGGGUAGGGAUGAAAAAGCUGUUGUAGUGUUACAUAAUCAGAUUAUUUCAACUUACUUAUCCUAUGGAAAUACAGCUAUAUAGGAGAUAUUUUAAAAUUCAUAGGCACUGCAUGUUUCAACAUUUUAGAUUUGACCACAAUUUGGCACUUGAAACUACGUUAACAGAGAAAAACUGUGUGGUUUUCGAUGAAAGUGUUAAAAAGUCUAAUAUUGCAUCAUGAUUACUGUUUUAAAGUAUUUUCGUGUUUGAUUUAUAUUGAAUUUAUCUCAUCUUUUUACAGAAUGCAUUUAUGUUCAAAAAUAAAAAUGUUCUGUUUAAUUCAAAAUUCAUGUGCUUUUAAAUUUCUGUCUGAAAUUCCGCAGUUUUCUGAUGCAUUAUAGUGUUUGCAGAAUGCCGCACAGCUCAUCUGAAAAUGCAUAGAUUUUCAUAUUCUUUGGUCAGGGAAUUGCAUAUAUGUUUGUUUAUUAGAUAACAACAGAUUUGUUUAAACUGCAGAAACAUGUGAGGUAUAUAUAUAUGGACUAAGACUAGUAAUUAUUUCCCCUUAUUUCAUGAUGGACGAAUGUAGUGCGAGUUAUAAAUAGACAAUUUUUCCCUUAAUUUUUUUCUCCCCUCUUCCUGCAUUUUUGGGUUGACUUUUUGGUCUAGAAUUGGAGAAAAGGGAUCAAAUUUGCAAUUUCAUAGCAGUUUUGGGUAAUACUGAUGAUAUUACAGCGGAGGGAUAGGGGGUGUAAAGUGUCUUUCUGCAGAGCAGUCAUUGUGUCGGAAGUGAGAUUUUCACCCCAGUCAACUUCAAAUCCGUGUAGCAAAAAAUCUAAAUGGUCAACCCCCUACAAAAUUAUGAUGAGGAGAUUGCCAAAUGUUGUCCCCAUUGUGCCUAUAAAGAUUGGAACCAACGGAAUGUUGAGAAAAAAGCUACAGCCUGUGAUGUUACAGCCAUUUAACAUUGAAGUCAAUGGGCAAAUAAUUGCUAGUCUGAGUCCUGAUGAGGUAAAGAAACAUGGCCGACUCGGGAUGUUGAUAUUUUUUCAAGGGCUUAUUUCCUGAAAUUUUGAAUGGAAAGUGUCAGAAAUAGUAAGAAUACUGCUUUUUUAUUGCCCAGCAGUAAGUUUUUUGACUAUUUGGUAUCAAAAUAGCCAUGAUUGGGGGUAUCCGUUGGUUGAGUGUGAAUUUUGGGUUGUAAAUGUGUAACAUUUUCUUCACAAUGAUAUCAAAACAUGGUUAGGUCUAAAUAUUAAGGCCAACUCAACUCCAGAUUUGGUCUAAAGUCACGAGAUGUAAACAAGGCUGACCCUAACCCUAACCCAAGACCCAGUCCUUACCCUAACCCUAACCCACAAUCUUGUCAAGAAGCAUGUAGCCUAGGCCUAAGCCAAGACCUAGUUCUGACCCUAGCCCAAACCCACAAUUGUGUAAAAAAAUCAUGUGCCCUAACCCUAUUUACAUGUUGUGACCUUGAACCAAGUCUGCAGUUGGCCUUAACAUUUAGACCUAACAUGUUUUUGACAUCAUACAAUGAAAUGUUAACAUGUACACUCCAAAAUUCACACCUGUGUGACUUUUGACCAAACAUGCAGUUGGCCUUAAUAUUUAGACCGAACCUCAAAACAUGGCAUCUACCUUUGAGAUUGGCUUAGACUUAUGUGACACUCAAGGUUUACUUUUUUACUGAUUGUUAACUGGUUUCUUUUUGGAGGGCCAGUGACGGGCUGUUCGCGAGAAAUAAAGAGGUUUAUUUCUAUUUCCAGUUGAAACCAUAUUUUUUUCUUAUUUUCUCACUGUUUUUUAUUGCAUAUUUAUCCCCAGCCUCCUAUCAUUUCAGGUGCCAGGGCAUUGUUUCAUAGAGUGGAAUGAUUGACCUCAACACAAGUAUUAAAAAAAAAGAAGCAAAACAGGUCUACAUCUCAAAACCUGAUCUCUUCCUGGACUGGCUUUAGGAGAACGAUGAUGCAUAUCAAUUUCAUCCCUGAUCUCUAUGACACCUGUGGUGGAAGUGGAGGGCAAAUCGUAAUCAGUUUGGGACCUCUGUAAACUUUGCUUUUUGGUGAUGACUUAAUUUCCGAGCUUGAAAAGGACGCUUGUGUGUUUAUCAUGGCCUCUCAUAUUGGAAGAUAACAUUAAUGGCUUGUGUGUUGAUCGACGGUUGUGCAUAUCUCUUGGUCAGGAAAGUUGUAGGCACCAUCGCCAUUGUAAAUCAUUUGACAGGCUCGAGUGAACGGGGCGACCUAUGAUUGGUCAGCAAUGUAUCAGAUUCCAUACCGGGGGGUGGGGAUGAAAAAACUGUUGUAGUGUUACAUAAUCAGAUUAUUUCAACUUACUUAUCCUGUGGAAAUACAGCUAUAUAGGAGAUAUUUUGAAAUUCAUAGGCACUGCAUGUUUCAACAUUUUAGAUUUGACCACAAUUUGGCACUUAAAACUAUGUUAACAGAGAAAAACUGUGUGGUUUUCGAUGAAAGUGUUAAAAGUCUAAUAUUGCAUCAUGAUUACUGUUUUAAAGUAUUUUCGUGUUUGAUUUAUAUUGAAUUCAUCUCAUCUUUUUGAAGAAUGCAUUUAUGUUCAAAAAUAAAAAUGUUCUGUGGAAUUCAAAAUUCAUGUGCUUUUAAAUUAUCAGAUUCCAAACUGGGGGGUAGGGAUGAAAAAGCUGUUGUAGUGUUACAUAAUCAGAUUAUUUCAACUUACUUAUCCUAUGGAAAUACAGCUAUAUAGGAGAUAUUUUAAAAUUCAUAGGCACUGCAUGUUUCAACAUUUUAGAUUUGACCACAAUUUGGCACUUGAAACUACGUUAACAGAGAAAAACUGUGUGGUUUUCGAUGAAAGUGUUAAAAAGUCUAAUAUUGCAUCAUGAUUACUGUUUUAAAGUAUUUUCGUGUUUGAUUUAUAUUGAAUUUAUCUCAUCUUUUUACAGAAUGCAUUUAUGUUCAAAAAUAAAAAUGUUCUGUUUAAUUCAAAAUUCAUGUGCUUUUAAAUUUCUGUCUGAAAUUCCGCAGUUUUCUGAUGCAUUAUAGUGUUUGCAGAAUGCCGCACAGCUCAUCUGAAAAUGCAUAGAUUUUCAUAUUCUUUGGUCAGGGAAUUGCAUAUAUGUUUGUUUAUUAGAUAACAACAGAUUUGUUUAAACUGCAGAAACAUGUGAGGUAUAUAGGACUAAGACUAGUAAUUAUUUCCCCUUAUUUCAUGAUGGACGAAUGUAGUGCGAGUUAUAAAUAGACAAUUUUUCCCUUAAUUUUUUUCUCCCCUCUUCCUGCAUUUUUGGGUUGACUUUUUGGUCUAGAAUUGGAGAAAAGGGAUCAAAUUUGCAAUUUCAUAGCAGUUUUGGGUAAUACUGAUGAUAUUACAGCGGAGGGAUAGGGGGUGUAAAGUGUCUUUCUGCAGAGCAGUCAUUGUGUCGGAAGUGAGAUUUUCACCCCAGUCAACUUCAAAUCCGUGUAGCAAAAAAUCUAAAUGGUCAACCCCCUACAAAAUUAUGAUGAGGAGAUUGCCAAAUGUUGUCCCCAUUGUGCCUAUAAAGAUUGGAACCAACGGAAUGUUGAGAAAAAAGCUACAGCCUGUGAUGUUACAGCCAUUUAACAUUGAAGUCAAUGGGCAAAUAAUUGCUAGUCUGAGUCCUGAUGAGGUAAAGAAACAUGGCCGACUCGGGAUGUUGAUAUUUUUUCAAGGGCUUAUUUCCUGAAAUUUUGAAUGGAAAGUGUCAGAAAUAGUAAGAAUACUGCUUUUUUAUUGCCCAGCAGUAAGUUUUUUGACUAUUUGGUAUCAAAAUAGCCAUGAUUGGGGGUAUCCGUUGGUUGAGUGUGAAUUUUGGGUUGUAAAUGUGUAACAUUUUCUUCACAAUGAUAUCAAAACAUGGUUAGGUCUAAAUAUUAAGGCCAACUCAACUCCAGAUUUGGUCUAAAGUCACGAGAUGUAAACAAGGCUGACCCUAACCCUAACCCAAGACCCAGUCCUUACCCUAACCCUAACCCACAAUCUUGUCAAGAAGCAUGUAGCCUAGGCCUAAGCCAAGACCUAGUUCUGACCCUAGCCCAAACCCACAAUUGUGUAAAAAAAUCAUGUGCCCUAACCCUAUUUACAUGUUGUGACCUUGAACCAAGUCUGCAGUUGGCCUUAACAUUUAGACCUAACAUGUUUUUGACAUCAUACAAUGAAAUGUUAACAUGUACACUCCAAAAUUCACACCUGUGUGACUUUUGACCAAACAUGCAGUUGGCCUUAAUAUUUAGACCGAACCUCAAAACAUGGCAUCUACCUUUGAGAUUGGCUUAGACUUAUGUGACACUCAAGGUUUACUUUUUUACUGAUUGUUAACUGGUUUCUUUUUGGAGGGCCAGUGACGGGCUGUUCGCGAGAAAUAAAGAGGUUUAUUUCUAUUUCCAGUUGAAACCAUAUUUUUUUCUUAUUUUCUCACUGUUUUUUAUUGCAUAUUUAUCCCCAGCCUCCUAUCAUUUCAGGUGCCAGGGCAUUGUUUCAUAGAGUGGAAUGAUUGACCUCAACACAAGUAUUAAAAAAAAAGAAGCAAAACAGGUCUACAUCUCAAAACCUGAUCUCUUCCUGGACUGGCUUUAGGAGAACGAUGAUGCAUAUCAAUUUCAUCCCUGAUCUCUAUGACACCUGUGGUGGAAGUGGAGGGCAAAUCGUAAUCAGUUUGGGACCUCUGUAAACUUUGCUUUUUGGUGAUGACUUAAUUUCCGAGCUUGAAAAGGACGCUUGUGUGUUUAUCAUGGCCUCUCAUAUUGGAAGAUAACAUUAAUGGCUUGUGUGUUGAUCGACGGUUGUGCAUAUCUCUUGGUCAGGAAAGUU